Molecule: ribosomal RNA, 557 nt
Filed under: uncultured bacterium
Lineage: Bacteria
Description: bacterial SSU rRNA
Rfam family: Bacterial small subunit ribosomal RNA
Source: RNAcentral
ACGGGUGAGUAACGCGUGGGAACGUGCCCUCCGGUUCGGAAUAACUCAGGGAAACUUGAGCUAAUACCGGAUACGCCCUUUUGGGGAAAGGUUUACUGCCGAAGGAUCGGCCCGCGUCUGAUUAGCUAGUUGGUGAGGUUAUGGCUCACCAAGGCGACGAUCAGUAGCUGGUCUGAGAGGAUGAUCAGCCACACUGGGACUGAGACACGGCCCAGACUCCUACGGGAGGCAGCAGUGGGGAAUAUUGGACAAUGGGGGCAACCCUGAUCCAGCCAUGCCGCGUGAGUGAUGACGGCCUUAGGGUUGUAAAGCUCUUUUCUCCGGGACGAUAAUGACGGUACCGGAGGAAUAAGCCCCGGCUAACUUCGUGCCAGCAGCCGCGGUAAUACGAAGGGGGCUAGCGUUGCUCGGAAUCACUGGGCGUAAAGGGCGCGUAGGCGGCUGAUUUAGUCGAGGGUGAAAGCCCGUGGCUCAACCACGGAAUGGCCUUCGAUACUGAUUGGCUUGAGACCGGAAGAGGACAGCGGAACUGCGAGUGUAGAGGUGAAAUUCGUAGA